Molecule: non-coding RNA, 144 nt
Filed under: Bacillus sp. (in: firmicutes)
Lineage: Bacteria; Bacillati; Bacillota; Bacilli; Caryophanales; Bacillaceae
Also listed under: 1 other name
Description: Bacillus sp. FMN sequence
Rfam family: FMN riboswitch aptamer (RFN element)
About the family: The RFN element is a highly conserved domain that is found frequently in the 5'-untranslated regions of prokaryotic mRNAs that encode for flavin mononucleotide (FMN) biosynthesis and transport proteins. This element is a metabolite-dependent riboswitch that directly binds FMN in the absence of proteins. In Bacillus subtilis, the riboswitch most likely controls gene expression by causing premature transcription termination within the 5' untranslated region of the ribDEAHT operon and precluding access to the ribosome-binding site of ypaA mRNA.
Source: RNAcentral
UGUAUCCUUCGGGGCAGGGUGAAAUUCCCUACCGGCGGUGAUGAAGCAAAAGCUUCUAAGCCCGUGACCCGCUUGCCAAUGGCAAACGGUGGACUUGGUGAAAAUCCAGGGCCGACAGUAUAGUCUGGAUGGGAGAAGGAUUGG